This 2468-nucleotide long non-coding RNA is filed under the name Mus musculus (house mouse). RNAcentral's name for it is "long non-coding RNA chr16:31323666-31326134". Lineage: Eukaryota; Metazoa; Chordata; Mammalia; Rodentia; Muridae. The record is from RNAcentral.
GGGUAAUCAAGCCUUAAGGUUUCUGGUUACUUGAAAAGACCGAGAGAUGGCUUUUUUUUAAAGAUUUAUUUAUUUAUUAUAUAUAAGUACACUGUAGCUGUCUUCAGACACAUCUGAAGAGGGCAUCAGAUCUCAUUACGGAUGGUUGUGAGCCACCAUGUGGUUGCUGGGAUUUGAACUCAGGACCUCUGGAAGAGCAGUCUUAACCACCGAGUCAUCUCUCCAGCCCCGGAGAGAUGGCAUUGGAAGUGUGAUCUCAAAUAAAUCUUUCUUUUUGCCCAUGGAGUGGUCUAGUCCAGUAGUCUUUCUAUGCUAUCAGUUACAAUCAGUAAUGAAAAUGGGUUUGCAAUUUAGGUCUUCACAGCCAAUGAACUGCCUCCAAACCCGAUGUGUGAGUCUCCUGCAAAAAAACCCAACCCCAUGUUUGUCAUGCUCAGCACAGUUAUUCUCAGGGCUGCCCUAGCUCAGUAUACUAAAACUGCAGUUUUCUGCUUCCCAGAUCCCUGUUUCACUGACAUUUGAUCCCUGGUCUGUUGUGUUUUCCUUAGAUACUUCAUGAUUUAAUUUGUGAUGUCUCUAUCCUCUCCUUUAUACCCUUUUUGGUCAUUUCCUUUAUGUGAAGGAGUUGAGACCAGUUGGUACCAUGGAUAUCAAGUAUGAGCAAAAACUCUGUGUGUGUGUGUGUGUGUGUGUGUGUGUGUGUGUGUGUGUUUCAAGGUGGGGAUUCUCUGUAUAUCCCUGGCUGACCUGACUCAUAGACCAGGCUAGCCUCAAACUCAAAGACUCUGCCUCUGCCUUCCAGUGAUAGAAUUAAAGCUAUGAGCCACCACUGCCCAACUCAAAAACUUCUUUAAAGGAUCGAUGUUUGCAGAGACUGACUUAGAAUCUCAGUGCUGUGCGGAGGUUGGAAUGUUGCAGGUCUAGCAGGGACGUUGCCUUAUCUUGGGCUAGUGUCAGCCCUCGGAACACCUGUUCCUUGCUCACCUCUGUGUCAGAAUGAAUGUCCCAUGAUGAACAGAUAGAAAAUCUUUGGUAUUUAUAACUGAGCAAACUGUUGGCUUCCACCAGCCCAAACUAUCACCAGAAAGCAACUUAGACCUCUAGAAAAGCCCCCCCUUAUCUGUCUCAGUGUAUGUACCCAACAAUGUAGUUUAAAUUUGCCUUGAUAGAUGACAUUUUUUUGUUCUGUAAAACUAUAAAACAACUUCAUGGAUCUGAUUCUACACUGGAACAUGGACUUGAUGACCCAAAUCUGUGUUCCUAGGGCCAUGGUCACUCAAAAUGGCUCCAGCAGUAACUGUUUCUUAUUCCCUUUAAGACAAAAACAUCUCGUAAAACGUGAAGAAGCCAUGCUGGCUCACAACCAUCUGUAAUGGGAUCUGAUGCCCUCUUCUGGUGUGUCUGAAGACAGCUACAGUGUACUCAUAUACACAAAAUAAAGUUUUAAAAAGUAUUUAAAACUAUGAGACAGAAUAAGCAUGCCCUCCUACUUUAUCACAGUGAUUUGGAAAGUGACUAGCGUACCAACCUUGCUCAAAUCCCCAAGACUGCUAGAGAAGCAGAUGCGCAUGCGUUCUGGUCAAGGCGGACGGCUGCUGUGAACGCAUGCCCCUGGGUACAAGCAGCCGUUGGUACAAGGAGCUCUGCUCCUUGACACUGAACUAGUUAGAGCACAACCCUUGACUACAGGCCCCUGCGCCUCAGUGCUGGCUCAGUGCCUUUUCAAUGUUGUCUCUAACCAUGUCACAUCCAGAAAGCAGGUUUGACGAGAGACGCUGCGAGGGGGCUUGAUCACGUGACUUUUCUAAAGCGAUGAAGUGAGAAUCCAAGGCUGCGUCCACACUCACAUAGCUAGCCAUGUUCUGCAGGGAGAGAAUUCAUCACCCUCAGGUUGUAUUUUUCUCCCGUUCUUUCUUUUUCUAAAUACUACUUUAAUACUUUGAGGGUUUCCUACAAUUUUGAUCAUAUUCACCCAUCACCCCAACUCUUUCUGGAACCCCUCUCUCCAUCCUCACCUCAUCCUAUCCAUCCAACUCUGAAUCCCACCCCAUCAGGUCCAGUUUGUGUUACCAAACAUCUCCCAGAAGUGGGGCCUGCCCUGGCAUGUGGUUGACAUCAUUAAAGAAAACUGACUAGUCCUCUCCCAGCUGGUAUCAAAUAUCAAUAGUUCCUCAGCUCUUGGUGGGAUUUUGAGCCCACUCCCUGUCUCCUGGAGUUUUGUUGGGCUUGUGGUCCCCUUUCUCAGAACAGUAAGGAUGACACAAAUCGCUUACUGAGCCUCCCUGCCCAUUCUUUAAUGGGAGCCAAGACUUCCAGCAAGCUAAAUAAGUGCUCUGCCACUGAGCUAUGUCUUCUGGCCCUAACCAGUUCCCAAGAGGGUUGAGCUGCCUGUGACAGACAAAGUCCACUUAUUUGAUGGCAGAAGUGAACCCAUCCAUUCAGGGCUUCCACCCUGCCCAGCAUCAAGU